GAGGCUAUUGCACACAUGAUGGAGCUGUCGUGGAGAUGGAGCUUUUACACCUGCAGAGCCUGCCAAAAUAAUGUAAAAGGGCAAAAGGGAAGGUGGAUCAUGGCAUAAUUCCGGUUGGAAGGGGCCUUCGGAGGUUUCUAGUUUCUAGUUCUGCCUCCUGCUCAAAUCAGGGUCAGCUAUGGUCUGUAAAGACCAGUCAGGGCUUUAUCCAGUUUGGUCUUGAAAAUAUCUAAAAACGAAGACUGCACAACCUCUCCAGAGUCUGGCUCCACGUCCUCACUAAACCCCUCACAGGCACUGGGGGCUGCUGUGAGGUCCCCCCAGAACCUUCUCUUCUCCAGGCUGGAUAAGCCCCAAUCCCGGAGCUGCUCCUUGCAUGGAAUGUCCAACUGGAAAAUGCACCUAUCUUCAAUUAUGGCACCCUUCUAUGCUCCUGACCGCUCUUUUCCAGUGAUUUAACUUAACUGCAGCAGAGAGAGGCUGGAUGAGAGCAGUGAGAGAUGACAUGACAUCUGCCUGAAUUAACAAAAUGAUAAAUAAGUACAGUAAGUCCAGCUGAAUGGAUCAACAAAUAAGUAGAACUACGUUUUCCCAUAGCUGCCUAACAUAAAUCACAAGAAUUCC
Molecule: long non-coding RNA, 624 nt
Organism: Chroicocephalus ridibundus (black-headed gull)
Lineage: Eukaryota; Metazoa; Chordata; Aves; Charadriiformes; Laridae
Exons: 4
Source: RefSeq, a predicted model, not a curated record